AGACCCAGGGAGGAGAGUUGCACUGGGGAGAAGGAGAGAUGGGGAGCAGCCACCAGUAAGAGAGGUUUUAUCAAUCCCCACCGUCCAACAAUUACAUUCAUCUGCAUCUCCGGCUCAAGUCACUGCAGAGUCUCCCAGAUUCUCACAAGACUGCCAUUGUCCAGAAAUGUGUACAGAAUGCUCACUGCACCACGUUCAAGCCUGAGAAAGUCCCAAAUGCUCAAGGAGUAUACAACAUCACAGAGAAGACAUGAUUAAUAUUGAACAAACAUAUGCAAUAAUCCAGGCAAUGGAUAAGUGCCCACAAGUGACCUAGAGAGAGGGUCCCAUGAGCUAUACUGAUAAUGACAAUGGUGAUAGCAACUUUGGAAGCCAGUUAAUAUUGGAAUAUGGCAAAGCCACUAUCAGCCUGUUUCCUGAGGGAACGCAUAGAGCCGAACUUUCUCCCUGCGCCUACUCCAACAAUCUGGAAUGUCUGCCUUGGAAUAUUAUGUGAGAAAGAAAUAAACAUCUCUUGUGUUUGAACCA
RNAcentral lists this long non-coding RNA (528 nucleotides) under Homo sapiens (human). RNAcentral's name for it is "HSALNT0383111". The record is from RNAcentral. Lineage: Eukaryota; Metazoa; Chordata; Mammalia; Primates; Hominidae.